CAACAGUCUAUUUUAGCCCCGUUGUCACCGGAGACGGAUGGUGUCUCAACGCCCCGAGGACAAUGGUGCACACACACACACACACACACGCACACGCACACACACUUUGUGCACUUUGACUCUUGUGAGGUUCCUCUCUUUGUGGAGGAACAGUGCAGAGCGCCAGUUGUUAUUCACCGAGUCAGCGUUUCACUCACGAUGGACGGUCUAAAUAAAGAAAAGGAUUCUUCCUUUAAACCCUUAAACCUCUCAUCUUCCCUCUCUAGCUGCCUAAUGAAGGCUCCUUGGCGCUGGUCGUGGUCCUCAUCGUGCUGCAGGGCAUCACUGGCAUUUCCUUCGGCCUCGUCAUCUCAGCCGCCAUCGACGACGAGCAGAGCGCCAACCAGGCCGCCCUCGGAAUCUUCUACCCCAACCUCAUCCUCAGCGGUAUCAUCUGGCCGGUGGAGUGUGUCCCGUAUCCUCUCCGCUACGUCAGCAUGGCUCUUCCUCAGACCUACGCCUCCGAAGCCCUUCGCUGCAUCAUGUACAGAGGUUGGGGUCUGUCCCAGAUGAUGGUGUGGCGAGGCUUCGCCGUUACCUUGGGCUGGAACACCUUCUUCCUCGUGCUGGCCACGGUCAUCCUGAAGCUCAGGACGUGACGGCGCUCUCUCCGCCUCCCUCGGGCCUCCCGCCUGCCGACGAGUUGCCAAGCAGCGGCUGCACGUCAAAGCACAGGAGGCCGAAUACGUACAUGCACAAGGUGAAAGUAUGUGUUGGACACCUCGUGUUCAAUGAGGAACCUGUUUUGUUUCUAUGUGCAGCUUGUCGGAACUUUUCGCCCUCAGAAAUGCACCAGCUCAGGGUCACGUGCUUCCAUGCGCCGGCCCCUCCCUUCAUGCGCUUUGAGCGUAAACUACAACUCUACUGUACAUCUGCAUUAUAGAGACGUUGUAUGUACGUAUGAAUAUGAGUCUGAGCACAAAACAUGUUGUUGUCUCCAAGAAAAUGUGAAAUAAUAUGUCAUCGGUUUGCUUCACGUUGUUGUUGCUUUGCGUCCUGUGAACCAGUAAAGCGUUUAAAAGUACGGACCUCUGCAAAUGGUCAAAGACGUUCUCCUCGUCAUCGUUUUUCAGUUCAGGCUGAUGGCGUCCUGCCUAACUCGUGUUUGUUGCCUGCUGGACUGCUGGGUGGUUGGAUUUGCUGGCGUGAGUGCAGGCUGCUCUUCUCACAGCUGAAGCUCUUCAAGCCGUCUGAUAAAUACGUUCUUUAUUUUCAAAACUUUGUUGGCAUAAAGCACACAGGAGGAGUUCUGUUCAGGAUGCACAGUCCAGUAAGGAGGAGUAACACGCACUCCUAACAAUAAAGCUGCUCAACAAGAACCCUUUAGGUUCUUUGGUUCUCAGUUGGUUCCACCUUUAUAGCUAGAGCCACCUGUGAGAGGCUCCAACCAGAACCCUGUUUCAGAUUGUAAGUUAUCUACUCCUGUUGCAUUGGAGGUACAAUCUGCAUAUCUCUAAAUCGAGGGGCUCCCUGUCCUGUUCGUCUGCGCCCAGCAGCCAGUAGGCCUGCUGCUUCUACAGCCGAAGAAGCAGCAGAUUUAGCAUCACACGUUGUGCCAUAAAAAAAGGGGUUUGUAUGCCUUUACAUUAAUCUGCACGCACGCCAAGCACACUGGAACAUUUCGUUAAUGCGUUUAAGUCGGAGGAAUCAAACGCUUACACCAGCAUAUGUUCCAAAGUGUUUGUAUUACAUAUUGUUUAUAUCAAGGCGCUGAUUUGCUCUGUGUUUCCCUCAAUGGGAGAAACGGAGGCUCUGCGCUGGAUGACGUCGUGGUCUCGCGCUGGCGUUAAAGGGUGAAUGUGUGCGUUUUAAGGGACGUUGUGUUGUUUGGGAUAAAUAUGUGAGGAUGUUAUGAGGUUUUUUUUAUCUGAGCGAGUUCUUUGUGCCCAACUCGACUCCCCAUGAAGUGCAAUCUCAGCGCUUACGCCAACGUAUGCACAAGAUUUGGUAAUAUUGUGAGUAACCUUUUUAGUUUUCUCUGGGUAUGUAAUCUCUGCAUGUUUUUGCGAAUUUGCUUCAAAACCUACAAAACUGACUCACUUUGAUGUAAAAACAUCCUGUGGAAAUGAUUUUAAAGAUGUACAUGAACUGCAAUUAUACUACUGACACAGUAUUUCAAAAUAAAUCUAAUUACAUUCUUUUUAAACAAAACAAAAGAGAACAGAACAGAAAUGUAUCAUACCAACAGCUGAAUGAGGAUUUCGGUGUUUAAUUGGAAUUGUGAAACUUGAAUAAACGACAUGAGAACUG
This is a non-coding RNA of Gasterosteus aculeatus aculeatus (three-spined stickleback), 2289 nucleotides long. The record is from RefSeq and is a predicted model, not a curated record. NCBI's taxonomy places the organism in Eukaryota, Metazoa, Chordata, Actinopteri, Perciformes, Gasterosteidae.